This 999-nucleotide ribosomal RNA is filed under the name uncultured bacterium. Its description in RNAcentral is "bacterial SSU rRNA". It matches the Rfam family "Bacterial small subunit ribosomal RNA", at positions 505 to 1501 of the family's 1533-position model. The record is from RNAcentral.
GUGCCAGCAGCCGCGGUAAUACGAGGGGGGCAAGCGUUGUUCGGAAUUAUUGGGCGUAAAGGGUGCGUAGGCGGUUUGAUAAGUUUCAUGUGAAAUCUUCGGGCUCAACCCGAAGCCUGCAUGGAAAACUGUCGGGCUUGAGUAUGGGAGAGGUGAGUGGAAUUUCCGGUGUAGCGGUGAAAUGCGUAGAUAUCGGAAGGAACACCUGUGGCGAAAGCGGCUCACUGGACCAUAACUGACGCUGAUGCACGAAAGCUAGGGGAGCAAACAGGAUUAGAUACCCUGGUAGUCCUAGCCCUAAACGAUGAUUGUUUGAUGUGGUGGGUACCCAAUCCUGCCGUGUCGAAGCUAACGCGAUAAACAAUCCGCCUGGGGAGUACGGUCGCAAGGCUGAAGCUCAAAGGAAUUGACGGGGGCCCGCACAAGCGGUGGAGCAUGCGGUUUAAUUCGACGCAACGCGAAGAACCUUACCUGGGCUCGAAAUGUACAGGACAGCGGUAGAAAUAUCGUCUCCCAGCAAUGGGUCUGUAUAUAGGUGCUGCAUGGCUGUCGUCAGCUCGUGUCGUGAGAUGUUGGGUUAAGUCCCGCAACGAGCGCAACCCUUAUCUCUAGUUGCUACCAUUUAGUUGAGCACUCUAGCGAAACCGCCUCGGAUAACGGGGAGGAAGGUGGGGAUGACGUCAAGUCCUCAUGGCCUUUAUGUCCAGGGCUACACACGUGCUACAAUGGCCGGUACAAACCGCUGCAACCCCGCGAGGGUGAGCUAAUCGGAAAAAGCCGGCCUCAGUUCGGAUUGGAGUCUGCAACUCGACUCCAUGAAGCUGGAAUCGCUAGUAAUCGUGGAUCAGCAUGCCACGGUGAAUACGUUCCCGGGCCUUGUACACACCGCCCGUCACAUCACGAAAGUGGGUUGCACUAGAAGUCGGUGCGCUAACUCGCAAGAGGAGCAGCCGCCCAAGGUGUAAUUCAUGAUUGGGGUGAAGUCGUAACAAGGUAACC